This 387-nucleotide ribosomal RNA is filed under the name uncultured bacterium. RNAcentral describes it as "bacterial SSU rRNA". It matches the Rfam family "Bacterial small subunit ribosomal RNA", at positions 29 to 402 of the family's 1533-position model. The record is from RNAcentral.
AAUCAACGCUGGCGGCGUGCCUAACACAUGCAAGUCGAACGCGAAAGCCCCGUAAGGGGCAAGUAGAGUGGCAAACGGGUGAGUAACACGUGGGUGACCUGCCUUCGAGCGGGGGAUAACGUCCCGAAAGGGACGCUAAUACCGCAUGACAUCCUGCCUUUGAAGAGGCGGAGAUCAAAGCCGGGGAUCGCAAGACCUGGCACUCGAAGAGGGGCCCGCGCCUGAUUAGCUAGNGGUGGGGUAAUGGCUCACCAAGGCAACGAUCAGUAGCCGGCCUGAGAGGGCGGACGGCCACACUGGGACUGAGACACGGCCCAGACUCCUACCGGGAGGCAGCAGUGGGGAAUUGUUCGCAAUGGGCGCAAGCCUGACGACGCAACGCCGCGU